Molecule: transfer RNA, 65 nt
Filed under: Nuttallia olivacea
Lineage: Eukaryota; Metazoa; Mollusca; Bivalvia; Cardiida; Psammobiidae
Description: tRNA-Leu
Source: RNAcentral
AUUGUGGUAGUAGAAGAAAAUAUAUAAGGCUUAGGACCUUAGGAUGGGAGAUGUUCCCCACAAUG